This 306-nucleotide unclassified non-coding RNA is filed under the name Hevea brasiliensis (rubber tree). The record is from RNAcentral. Lineage: Eukaryota; Viridiplantae; Streptophyta; Magnoliopsida; Malpighiales; Euphorbiaceae.
CUCAGGCAAAACCAGUCUUAAUACAUGGUAGUAAGAAAACAGUCUUAGUUAAGUCUUAAACAGGAAGCAUCAAACACAUUAACACAGUAGCAUUAAAACCAUAAACACAAACCACCAUUACUGCAUUAAGUUUAUAUAUAUGUAUGUAUUUAUACGCUUUUAAAGAGGAAGCCAGCGCUGAUUCUGAUGGUGGCUCACCAGGUCAUCCAGCAUCCACAGUUCCACCGACUCAGUUGUCUCACGGCUGCUUACACUCAACUGAGCCUCCAUCUUCUCUGGCUCCAAUCCCAGAAACGUUUCUAGGCU